CCUGAUCUACUUCAAACCAUAUAUUUACCAAAGGAGUCUGAGCAAAAGUUCAUUUAAAAUAAAGACCUGACUGUUGAGUCUCUGCUAAGACUUUGUAAUUCAGUUGCUGUACAAAUAUUUCAAAGCCAGCAAGAGGUUAACAGAGAAAACUGCAGGAAAGGGGGAAGUGAUGUGAUUAGGGGUCAGUUAUGUCCAUGACCUCCUGUGCCAGGUAUCAUAUGACUCUCAGUGGGGCACUACAAGGACACUCAAAAUCUAUGGGUAUCUGUUUUUGUCUCUGUCAUUAGUGAAUCAAACUGAAAACACUAAGGAAAACUUGAGAAGCAAAUUCAGACCCUAUCCAGCUUCCCCCCCCCCAAAGAUCUUUUCAUAUUUAUACUGCAUCCUCUGUCAAGCAAACCUCCCUGUCAGGUUAGAUGGCAUUGGCUGCCCAGGCUCAUUGUAGCAAACUGUUCUUCUUCCUUUCUCCUGGGAUAAAGUGUUCUUGGCAGCCCCGAUGGUUCAGAGGUGAAAGCAUGGUUUAUUGCAACAAAAAAGUAAAGGGUAGUACAUAAGAGGUGUGAAAUGCCAAGUCCACGUGCCAAGACGUCCUCCUAGGAAACAACAUCUUACUUUUGCCCUUCCCAUGCCUUACAGUUAUGAUGAAUUUUUCGGUAUGUAGCAAUAACCAAUAAUGUAUCAUUUACGUUACUGUGUUUAUUUUUUUUCUCACCAAGCUGUUGUUCGGAUGAUGAGGAAAGAAAAUGGGCUGGGAAUGACUUGCAUAUGAGACUAUCGCCUUGUACUAUCAGCUCACAAGCCAAAAUGUCUAGCAAGAUACUUUGAACUUAGCUCGGUGAUUUAUCCAAUGUCCUUUUCAUCUGUGGCCACAUGCCAACUUCCAGAAUGCAUUGGUGGGAUGUGUGUCCACACCUGCCCUUAUAUCUCUCCUUCUUGAUGCAAGUGUGACUGGGCUGGUUGAGCUCUUCUGGAAUGUGGGUAAAUAAACCAGUAAUUGUUGAGUUUGUUUUGGCAGCAGGGAUAGUACGUUAAGAAGGGAAAGUGGCAGUGUGUGUAACUAAUGCUGCAGUAUGGUCUAGAGGCUCCUGCUCAAAGGCAGGCAGUGCUUUUUAGGGCUCAGGGAGAUGGCUUGCUCACUGCCCAGGCAUAUUCAGUAGGCUGUGGAGGUUAAACAAAACUGAAAACCAAGAAACAACACUGAUAGGGCCACUUAAUGUUGUGUGUCAAGACUGCCAGGUAAGCAUGAAGUUGGGCUGUUGAGUGGAUGAGUGAUUUAUCCUUCCAACUCUAAGGAUUAUGUGAUUCUGUCUGUGCAGCGUCCAGCAGAAAGGCAAGAUGUAAGGACAUUUUGUUUCUGUGUUGGAGCUAAAAAGCAAUUUAGCCGUAAGUGUAACUUGACAAAUCAAAGGUGGUUGCCAGCUUGAAAUGUUCCCCAGGGAGCAGCUUGGGCAGCCAGAAGUCUUAUGGGCAGAAUACCUGAGUGUCCCUGGUUCUAGACUAGUGCACUCAGACCCACAGAUUCUAA
Molecule: long non-coding RNA, 1525 nt
Filed under: Gallus gallus (chicken)
Lineage: Eukaryota; Metazoa; Chordata; Aves; Galliformes; Phasianidae
Description: long non-coding RNA NONGGAT002748
Source: RNAcentral